Molecule: ribosomal RNA, 178 nt
Filed under: uncultured Streptococcus sp.
Lineage: Bacteria; Bacillati; Bacillota; Bacilli; Lactobacillales; Streptococcaceae
Description: partial 16S ribosomal RNA
Rfam family: Bacterial small subunit ribosomal RNA
Source: RNAcentral
ACCUGGGCUACACACGUGCUACAAUGGUUGGUACAACGAGUUGCGAGUCGGUGACGGGCGAGCUAAUACUCUUAAGGCCAAUCUCAGUUCGGAUUGUAGGCUGCAACUCGCCUACAUGAAGUCGGAAUCGCUAGUAAUCGCGGAUCAGCACGCCGCGGUGAAUACGUUCCCGGGCCUU